This 805-nucleotide ribosomal RNA is filed under the name uncultured archaeon. RNAcentral describes it as "bacterial SSU rRNA". It matches the Rfam family "Archaeal small subunit ribosomal RNA", at positions 536 to 1342 of the family's 1478-position model. The record is from RNAcentral.
AGUUUUCGGUUAAUCUGUACGCUCACGUACAGGCUGCCGGGAAUACUGCAGAGCUACCUUGUGGGAGAGGUAGACGGUACUCGGUAGGAAGGGGUCAAAUCCUUUGAUCUAUUGAUGACCACCUGUGGCGAAGGCGGUCUACCAGAACACGUCCGACGGUGAGGGAUGAAAGCUGGGGGAGCAAACCGGAUUAGAUACCCGGGUAGUCCCAGCUGUAAACUAUGCAAACUCAGUGAUGCAUUGGCUUGUGGCCAAUGCAGUGCUGCAGGGAAGCCGUUAAGUUUGCCGCCUGGGAAGUACGUACGCAAGUAUGAAACUUAAAGGAAUUGGCGGGGGAGCACCACAAGGGGUGAAGCCUGCGGUUCAAUUGGAGUCAACGCCAGAAAUCUUACCCGGAGAGACAGCAGAAUGAAGGUCAAGCUGAAGACUUUACCAGACAAGCUGAGAGGUGGUGCAUGGCCGUCGCCAGCUCGUGCCGUGAGAUGUCCUGUUAAGUCAGGUAACGAGCGAGAUCCCUGCCUCUAGUUGCCACCAUUACUCUCAGGAGUAGUGGGGCGAAUUAGCGGGACCGCCGCAGUUAAUGCGGAGGAAGGAAGGGGCCACGGCAGGUCAGUAUGCCCCGAAACUCUGGGGCCACACGCGGGCUGCGAUGGUAAUGACAAUUGGUUCCGAAUCCGAAAGGAUGAGGUAAUCCUCAAACGUUACCACAGUUAUGACUGAGGGCUGCAACUCGCCCUCACGAAUAUGGAAUCCCUAGUAACUGCGUGUCAUUAUCGCGCGGUGAAUACGUCCCUGCUCCUUGCAC